CCGUGUUCUGUGAAUGACUCGGCUGGCGCCGGACUGGCGGGCGCCCGUCGGUCUGUCAUGGAACACGAGA
This is a non-coding RNA of Acyrthosiphon pisum (pea aphid), 70 nucleotides long. The record is from Rfam. Lineage: Eukaryota; Metazoa; Arthropoda; Insecta; Hemiptera; Aphididae.